AAAAAGGUAAGCUAAUUUAAGCUACUGGGUUCAUACCCCAAUUAUGGGGGUAAAAAUCCCCCUCUUUUUA
Molecule: transfer RNA, 70 nt
Filed under: Cryptocephalus ramburii
Lineage: Eukaryota; Metazoa; Arthropoda; Insecta; Coleoptera; Chrysomelidae
Description: tRNA-Met
Rfam family: tRNA
About the family: Transfer RNA (tRNA) molecules are approximately 80 nucleotides in length. Their secondary structure includes four short double-helical elements and three loops (D, anti-codon, and T loops).
Source: RNAcentral